Molecule: long non-coding RNA, 1680 nt
Filed under: Mytilus galloprovincialis (Mediterranean mussel)
Lineage: Eukaryota; Metazoa; Mollusca; Bivalvia; Mytilida; Mytilidae
Source: RNAcentral
AUUCAGGGGGCAGUAACCCAACAAUGGGCUAUCCAAUUCAUCUGAAAAUUUGUGGUCAGAUAGAUCUUGACCUGAUAAACAAUUUCACCUCAGUCAGAUUUGCUCUAAAUGCUUUAGUUUCAGAGAUAUAAGCCAAAAUCUACAUUUACCCCUUUGUUCUUUUUUUAGCCAUGGCGGCCAUCUUGGUUGGUUGGCCGGGUCACCAGACACAUUUUUGAAACUAAAUACUCCAAUGAUGAUUGUGGCCAAAUUUGGUUAAAUUUGGUCCAAUAGUUUCAGAGGAGAAGAUUUGGGCCAGGUGAGCUAAAAAGGGUGGAAAAGUGAUUUUUAGAGAAACUAAAUUCUGUGUUAUUUGGUCUCUUGUGGAGAGUUGUCUCAUUAGCAAUCAUACCACAUCUUCCUUUUUACAUUGAUCUGUAACUUGUCAUUAUAAAACAAUGAACCAAAUAUCUAAUCAAUCCUCAAGCACCAAAAACUAGAGGCUCUAAAGAGCCUGUGUCGCUCACCUUGGUAUAUGUGAAUAUUAAACAAAGGAAGCAGAUGGAUUCAUGACAAAAUUGUGUUUUGGUGAUGGUGAUGUGUUUGUACAUCUUACUUUACUGAACAUUCUUGCUGCUUACAAUUAUCUCUAUCUAAAAUGAUCUUGGCAAAGUAGUUUCAGUGGAAAAUGUUAGUAAAAAUUUACAAAUUUUAUGAAAAUUGUUAAAAAUUGACUAUAAAGGACAAUAACUCCUUAGGGGGUAAUUGACCAUUUUGGUCAUGUUUACUUAUUUUUAGGUCUUACUUUGCUGUACAUUAUUGCUGUUUACAGUUUAUCUCUAUCUAUAAUAAUAUUCAAGAUAAUAACCAAAAACGGCAAAAUUUCCUUAAAAUUACCAAUUUAGGGGCAGCAACCCAACAACCGGUUGUCGGGUCAAUCUGAAAAUUUCAGGGCAGAUAGAUCUUGACAUGAUAAACAAUUUAACUCAGUCAGAUUUGCUCUAAAUGCUUUGAUUUUUGAGUUAUAAGCCAAAAACUGCAUUUUACCCCUAUGUUCUAUAUUUAGCUGUGGCGGCCAUCUUGGUUGGAUGGCCGGGUCACCGGACACAUUUUUUAAACUACAUACCCCAAAGAUGAUUGUGGCCAAGUUUGGAUUAAUUUAGCCGAGUAGUUUCAGAGGAGAAGAUUUUUGUAAAAGAUGACUAAGAUUUACGAAAAAGGGUUAAAAAUUGACUAUAAAGGAAAAUAACUCCUUAAGGGGUCAACUGACCAUUUCGGUCAUGUUGACUUAUAUGUAGAUCUUACUUUGCUGAACAUUAUUGCUGCUUACAGUUUAUCUCUAUCUAUAAUAAUAUUCAAGAUAAUAACCAAAAACAGCAAAAUUUCCAUUAAAAUUACCAAUUCAGGGGCAGCAACCCAACAACGGGUUGUCCGAUUCAUCUGAAAAUUUCAAGGCAGAUAGAUCUUAACCUGAUAAACAAUUUUACCCCCAUGUCAGAUUUGCUCUAAAUGCUUUGGUUUUUGAGUUAUAAGCCAAAAACUGCAUUUUACCCCUAUGUUCUAUUUUUAGCCAUGGCGGCCAUCUUGAUUGGUUGGCCGGGUCACCGAACACAUUUUUUAAACUAGAUACCCCAAUGAUGAUUGUGACCAAGUUUGAUUAAAUUUGGCCCUGUAGUUUUAGAGGAGAAGAUUUUUGUAAAA